UACAGAGGGUGCGAGCGUUAAUCGGAAUUACUGGGCGUAAAGCGCGCGUAGGCGGCUUUGCAAGUCGGGUGUGAAAUCCCCAGGCUUAACCUGGGAACUGCAUUCGAGACUGCAUUGCUAGAGUAUGGGAGAGGGAAGUGGAAUUUCCGGUGUAGCGGUGAAAUGCGUAGAUAUCAGGAAGAACACCUAUGGCGAAGGCAGCUCUCUGGGACGGUACUGACGCUGAGACGCGAAAGCGUGGGGAGCGAACAGG
Molecule: ribosomal RNA, 253 nt
Filed under: uncultured bacterium
Lineage: Bacteria
Description: partial 16S ribosomal RNA
Rfam family: Bacterial small subunit ribosomal RNA
Source: RNAcentral